RNAcentral lists this ribosomal RNA (492 nucleotides) under uncultured bacterium. RNAcentral's name for it is "partial 16S ribosomal RNA". It matches the Rfam family "Bacterial small subunit ribosomal RNA", at positions 29 to 507 of the family's 1533-position model. The record is from RNAcentral.
AGUGAACGCUGGCGGUAGGCCUAACACAUGCAAGUCGAACGGCAGCACAGUAAGAGCUUGCUCUUACGGGUGGCGAGUGGCGGACGGGUGAGGAAUACAUCGGAAUCUACUUUUUCGUGGGGGAUAACGUAGGGAAACUUACGCUAAUACCGCAUACGACCUACGGGUGAAAGCAGGGGAUCUUCGGACCUUGCGCGAUUGAAUGAGCCGAUGUCGGAUUAGCUAGUUGGCGGGGUAAAGGCCCACCAAGGCGACGAUCCGUAGCUGGUCUGAGAGGAUGACCACCCACACGGGAACGGAGAAACGGCCCAGACCCCUACGGGAGGCAGCAGGGGGGAAUAUUGAAAAAGGGGCUAAAGCCGGACCCACCCAUCCCGGGGGGGGGAAGAAGGCUUUCGGUUGUGAAAGCCUUUUUGUGGGGAAAGAAAAGAAGCAGGUUAACACCCCGCUUUGAUGACGGUACCAAAAGAAUAAGCACCGGCUAACUUCGUG